RNAcentral lists this non-coding RNA (125 nucleotides) under Ctenophora environmental sample. Lineage: Eukaryota; Metazoa; Ctenophora. The record is from RNAcentral.
AUCGCUUCUGCCGCAAUUCCAGUGGCCGCCAUGCAACUAAUGAAGACCCGUUCCGCCAUUUCCAUGGUGGCGGCAAAAAGUACGCCCAGAAACAGAAGCGUCCUCUUAAACGGGGCCAAUCAAAC